UACAGAGGUCCCAAGCGUUGUUCGGAUUCACUGGGCGUAAAGGGUGCGUAGGCGGCGAGGUAAGUCUGGUGUGAAAUCUCCGGGCUCAACCCGGAAACGGCAUCAGAUACUACCCCGAUAGAGGAUCGGAGAGGAGACUGGAAUUCUAGGUGUAGCAGUGAAAUGCGUAGAUAUCGAGAGGAACACCAGUGGCGAAAGCGAGUCUCUGGACGAUUCCUGACGCUGAGGCACGAAGGCUAGGGGAGCAAACAGG
RNAcentral lists this unclassified non-coding RNA (253 nucleotides) under uncultured Verrucomicrobiota bacterium. RNAcentral's name for it is "uncultured Verrucomicrobia bacterium contains 16S-23S intergenic spacer region". It matches the Rfam family "Bacterial small subunit ribosomal RNA", at positions 524 to 776 of the family's 1533-position model. Lineage: Bacteria; Pseudomonadati; Verrucomicrobiota. The record is from RNAcentral.